UAACGUAGGGAAACUUACGCUAAUACCGCAUACGACCUACGGGUGAAAGCAGGGGACCUUCGGGCCUUGCGCGAUUGAAUGAGCCGAUGUCGGAUUAGCUAGUUGGCGGGGUAAAGGCCCACCAAGGCGACGAUCCGUAGCUGGUCUGAGAGGAUGAUCAGCCACACUGGAACUGAGACACGGUCCAGACUCCUACGGGAGGCAGCAGUGGGGAAUAUUGGACAAUGGGCGCAAGCCUGAUCCAGCCAUACCGCGUGGGUGAAGAAGGCCUUCGGGUUGUAAAGCCCUUUUGUUGGGAAAGAAAUCCAGCCGGCUAAUACCUGGUUGGGAUGACGGUACCCAAAGAAUAAGCACCGGCUAACUUCGUGCCAGCAGCCGCGGUAAUACGAAGGGUGCAAGCGUUACUCGGAAUUACUGGGCGUAAAGCGUGCGUAGGUGGUUGUUUAAGUCUGUUGUGAAAGCCCUGGGCUCAACCUGGGAACUGCAGUGGAACUGGACAACUAGAGUGUGGUAGAGGGUAGCGGAAUUCCCGGUGUAGCAGUGAAAUGCGUAGAGAUCGGGGAGGAAC
This 568-nucleotide ribosomal RNA is filed under the name Stenotrophomonas sp. JP3S_1. Its description in RNAcentral is "bacterial SSU rRNA". It matches the Rfam family "Bacterial small subunit ribosomal RNA", at positions 144 to 707 of the family's 1533-position model. The record is from RNAcentral. Lineage: Bacteria; Pseudomonadati; Pseudomonadota; Gammaproteobacteria; Lysobacterales; Lysobacteraceae.